AUAUUGUAAACCCAUCCAAAACGGAGACAGGCGCAGUGUGACAGGUCAGAGAAUCCAAUGGCAGAAGAAUAUGAACAGGCUGGUGCUUCAGAGUUUAUUAAAGACCGGCUUUACUUCGCCACCCUGCGUGUCAAGCCAAA
Sphaeramia orbicularis (orbiculate cardinalfish) is the source of this 140-nucleotide long non-coding RNA. RefSeq lists it as uncharacterized. NCBI's taxonomy places the organism in Eukaryota, Metazoa, Chordata, Actinopteri, Kurtiformes, Apogonidae. The transcript is spliced from 2 exons. The record is from RefSeq and is a predicted model, not a curated record.